Molecule: non-coding RNA, 109 nt
Filed under: Desulfuromonas sp.
Lineage: Bacteria; Pseudomonadati; Thermodesulfobacteriota; Desulfuromonadia; Desulfuromonadales; Desulfuromonadaceae
Also listed under: 1 other name
Description: SAM-I sequence
Rfam family: SAM riboswitch aptamer (S box leader)
About the family: The SAM riboswitch is found upstream of a number of genes which code for proteins involved in methionine or cysteine biosynthesis in Gram-positive bacteria. The SAM riboswitch acts at the level of transcription termination control.
Source: RNAcentral
UCUUUAUCAAGAGUGGUGGAGGGACAGGCCCUGUGAAACCACAGCAACCGGUCCGCGCCAGCGGGCGCCAGGUGCUAAUUCCUGCCCGGGCAACCGGGCGAGAUGAGGA